Molecule: ribosomal RNA, 301 nt
Filed under: uncultured bacterium
Lineage: Bacteria
Description: partial 16S ribosomal RNA
Rfam family: Bacterial small subunit ribosomal RNA
Source: RNAcentral
CAGCCGCCGCGGUAAUACAGAGGGUGCGAGCGUUAAUCGGAUUUACUGGGCGUAAAGCGUGCGUAGGCGGCUUCUUAAGUCGGAUGUGAAAUCCCUGAGCUUAACUUAGGAAUUGCAUUCGAUACUGGGAAGCUAGAGUAUGGGAGAGGAUGGUAGAAUUCCAGGUGUAGCGGUUAAAUGCGUAGAGAUCUGGAGGAAUACCGAUGGCGAAGGCAGCCAUCUGGCCUAAUACUUACGCUGAGGUACGAAAGCAUGGGGAGCAAACAGGAUUAGAUACCCCUGUAGUCCCUGUCUCUUAUAC